UACGGGGGAGGCAAGCGUUAUCCGGAAUUAUUGGGCGUAAAGCGUCCGCAGGUGGUCAGCCAAGUCUGCUGUCAAAUCAGGUUGCUUAACGACCUAAAGGCGGUGGAAACUGGCAGACUAGAGAGCAGUAGGGGUAGCAGGAAUUCCCAGUGUAGCGGUGAAAUGCGUAGAGAUUGGGAAGAACAUCGGUGGCGAAAGCGUGCUACUGGGCUGUAUCUGACACUCAGGGACGAAAGCUAGGGGAGCGAAAGGGAUUAGAUACCCCUGUAGUCCUAGCCGUAAACGAUGGAUACUAGGCGUGGCUUGUAUCGACCCGAGCCGUGCCGAAGCUAACGCGUUAAGUAUCCCGCCUGGGGAGUACGCACGCAAGUGUG
This 374-nucleotide ribosomal RNA is filed under the name uncultured prokaryote. Its description in RNAcentral is "bacterial SSU rRNA". It matches the Rfam family "Bacterial small subunit ribosomal RNA", at positions 524 to 896 of the family's 1533-position model. The record is from RNAcentral.